RNAcentral lists this ribosomal RNA (877 nucleotides) under Halomonas shengliensis. RNAcentral describes it as "bacterial SSU rRNA". It matches the Rfam family "Bacterial small subunit ribosomal RNA", at positions 113 to 987 of the family's 1533-position model. Lineage: Bacteria; Pseudomonadati; Pseudomonadota; Gammaproteobacteria; Oceanospirillales; Halomonadaceae. The record is from RNAcentral.
ACGCAUAGGAAUCUGCCGGUAGUGGGGGAUAACCUGGGGAAACCCAGGCUAAUACCGCAUACGUCCUACGGGAGAAAGCAGGGGAUCUUCGGACCUUGCGCUAUCGGAUGAGCCUAUGUCGGAUUAGCUGGUUGGUGAGGUAAUGGCUCACCAAGGCGACGAUCCGUAGCUGGUCUGAGAGGAUGAUCAGCCACAUCGGGACUGAGACACGGCCCGAACUCCUACGGGAGGCAGCAGUGGGGAAUAUUGGACAAUGGGCGCAAGCCUGAUCCAGCCAUGCCGCGUGUGUGAAGAAGGCCCUCGGGUUGUAAAGCACUUUCAGUGGGGAAGAAAUCCUCGGGGCUAAUACCCUCGAGGGAGGACAUCACCCACAGAAGAAGCACCGGCUAACUCCGUGCCAGCAGCCGCGGUAAUACGGAGGGUGCGAGCGUUAAUCGGAAUUACUGGGCGUAAAGCGCGCGUAGGCGGCCUGAUAAGCCGGUUGUGAAAGCCCCGGGCUCAACCUGGGAACGGCAUCCGGAACUGUCAGGCUAGAGUGCAGGAGAGGAAGGUAGAAUUCCCGGUGUAGCGGUGAAAUGCGUAGAGAUCGGGAGGAAUACCAGUGGCGAAGGCGGGCUUCUGGACUGACACUGACGCUGAGGUGCGAAAGCGUGGGUAGCAAACAGGAUUAGAUACCCUGGUAGUCCACGCCGUAAACGAUGUCGACUAGCCGUUGGGGUCCUUGAGACCUUUGUGGCGCAGUUAACGCGAUAAGUCGACCGCCUGGGGAGUACGGCCGCAAGGUUAAAACUCAAAUGAAUUGACGGGGGCCCGCACAAGCGGUGGAGCAUGUGGUUUAAUUCGAUGCAACGCGAAGAACCUUACCUACCCUUGACAU